RNAcentral lists this ribosomal RNA (515 nucleotides) under Nematoda environmental sample. RNAcentral describes it as "SSU rRNA". It matches the Rfam family "Eukaryotic small subunit ribosomal RNA", at positions 58 to 570 of the family's 1831-position model. The record is from RNAcentral. Lineage: Eukaryota; Metazoa; Nematoda.
UAUAAGUAUAAACGCUUUAAGCGUGAAACCGCGAACGGCUCAUUACAACAGCUAUAAUUUACUUGAUCUUGACAAACUUACAUGGAUAACUGAGGUAAUUCUUGAGCUAAUACAUGCACCAAAGCUUUGACCGUAAGGGAAGAGCGCAUUUAUUAGAACAAAACCAAACGGCUUCGGCUGUUCCCAGUUGAAUCAGAAUAACUCAGCUGAUCGUACGGUCUUGUACCGACGACGUGUCUUUCAAGUAUCUGCUUUAUCAACUUUCGAUGGUAGGGUAUCUGCCUACCAUGGUGGUGACGGAUAACGGAGGAUCAGGGUUCGACUCCGGAGAAGGGGCCUGAGAAAUGGCCACUACGUCUAAGGAUGGCAGCAGGCGCGCAAAUUACCCACUCUCAGAAUUUGGAGGAGGUAGUGACGAGAAAUAACGAGGUUGAUCUCUUCUGAGGCCAACCAUCGGAAUGGGUACAAUUUAAACCCUUUAACGAGUAUCUAUGAGAGGGCAAGUCUGGUGCCAG